UACAGAGGUGGCAAGCGUUGUUCGGAAUUACUGGGCGUAAAGGGCGCGUAGGCGGCCAUCUAAGUCAGACGUGAAAUCCCCCGGCUUAACCUGGGAACUGCGUCUGAUACUGGACGGCUCGAGUUUGGGAGAGGGAUGCAGAAUUCCAGGUGUAGCGGUGAAAUGCGUAGAUAUCUGGAGGAAUACCGGUGGCAAAGGUGGCAUCCUGGACUAACACUGACGCUGAGGCGCGAAAGCUAGGGGAGCAAACGGG
RNAcentral lists this ribosomal RNA (253 nucleotides) under uncultured bacterium. Its description in RNAcentral is "partial 16S ribosomal RNA". It matches the Rfam family "Bacterial small subunit ribosomal RNA", at positions 524 to 776 of the family's 1533-position model. The record is from RNAcentral.